Non-coding RNA from Kalaharituber pfeilii, 98 nucleotides. Lineage: Eukaryota; Fungi; Ascomycota; Pezizomycetes; Pezizales; Pezizaceae. The record is from the annotation of a GenBank genome assembly.
GGCUGGUUGGCGCAACGGUAGCGCGUUCGACUCCAGUUUUUCCGGAAUCCGGAGGAUUGGGUAUCGAAAGGCUAGGUGUUCGAAUCACCUACUGGUCA